GAUGAAGAACGUAGCGAAAUGCGAUAAGAAAUGUGAAUUGCAGAAUUCAGUGAAUCAUCGAAUCUUUGAACGCACAUUGCGCCCGCCAGUAUUCUGGCGGGCAUGCCUGUCUGAGCGUCAUUUCAACCCUCAUGCCCCUAGGGCGUGGUGUUGGGGAUCGGCCAAAGCCCGCGAGGGACGGCCGGCCCCUAAAUCUAGUGGCGGACCCGUCGUGGCCUCCUCUGCGAAGUAGUGAUAUUCCGCAUCGGAGAGCGACGAGCCCCUGCCGUUAAACCCCCAACUUUCCAAGGUUGACCUCAGAUCAGGUAGGAAUACCCGCUGAACUUAAGCAUAUCAAUAAGCGGAGGA
RNAcentral lists this unclassified non-coding RNA (348 nucleotides) under soil metagenome. RNAcentral's name for it is "partial contains 5.8S ribosomal RNA, internal transcribed spacer 2, and large subunit ribosomal RNA". The stretch from base 1 to 120 matches the Rfam family "5.8S ribosomal RNA", at positions 35 to 154 of the family's 154-position model. The record is from RNAcentral.